CGGUGUCAGGUAGUGUGCAAGCGCCAGUGUAGAAGUACAGAUCAACAGGUGCCCUCUACCGGAGCAACCGUAGAUGUACGGGCAGCAUGCGAGCGCUGUUGCAGAUCAAAAGUUACAGCAGCGGCAAAGGCAACGAGAAGGUGCUCCUUUUUUUACUCUUCUCUGUCCUCUUCCUUCUAUUGUUUGUAGCGCCUCAUAUCCCCUACUUACAACAUUUUUCUGAAUUAAUUUCAAAUCUUGGAACCUUUUGUUCUAUUGUUGCUAUGUAUUUUUUAGGGAGGAGAAUCAGCUACCGUUCCUGAUGAUGCCCUGUAAUUAGUGGCAAAUAAAUUUUCUAUCCUUGAAGAUUUGUGUUGGUGUCUUUUUGGAUCAGGCUCUGGUAGUUCAUGUCCUCUUCUCGCCCUUCAAAAGUUUUGUUGUCUACUCCCUCCGUUCCUAAAUAAUUGUUUUUCUAGAGAUUUUAACAAGUGAGUACAUACGGAGCAAAAUGAAUGAAUCUACACUCUAAAACAUGUCUACAUACAUCCGUAUGUUGUAGUCCAUUUGAGGUGGCUAGAAAGACAAUUAUUUGGGAACGGAGGGAGUAAUUUUUAGCCCGGCCUCUGUUAGUUCAUGUUUUUUCUUUUUUCUUUCUUUACAGGUCCGGAGGUCCCUACGCCUUCAAAGUAUCUCCUGUCACAUGCUCACUCAAAUGAUUGUCCAUGGAGCCAGCAAGCGAAGAACUGGAGGAAGGCGAGGGUCACUUAGCUAGCCGCACCGGUUCCUAUUAUAUCCCCCCUGUCUUCUUCGUCUCUUGCUCUCUCUCUUUCCAGGAUGGUGGAGGGUGGACUGAGGGUGACAUUGAUUAUGUGGGUUUAGAUAUGCUAAAUUUAUUGAUUAGGAUCACAAAAGGUUUGUAAAUUUCCUUUAAUGUUUGGAUAAAAUUUCUUUUAAUGUAUUUGUUCUUUCCUUUUGUCUGGACAUAUGUUGAUUAAUUAAGAGGAAUGACAAGAAUAAUAUUCCGUCCAGAUUUUAGUGUGUGUGAUUUUGACUAAACUCACAACUACUGAACUUGGUUUCUUCAAAUACCUGUGUGAUUUUGGGAAAACCAUUCAUACUUUGGCCAUACAUGUUCCCUAUUGUAUUGCUUUAAUAUUUUAAACAUUCUUUGUUUCUAGGGAGGUGUGAAAUCAAUCAAAGUGACAACACAAUGUUUUCCGGAGAAUGAUUGUUUUGUUUAGUAAGUGUAACAUAUUAUAAUAUCAAUG
RNAcentral lists this long non-coding RNA (1247 nucleotides) under Triticum aestivum (bread wheat). Its description in RNAcentral is "long non-coding RNA (TAES_LNC022259)". The record is from RNAcentral. Lineage: Eukaryota; Viridiplantae; Streptophyta; Magnoliopsida; Poales; Poaceae.